CGGGUGAGUAAUAUAUAGUUAAUGUGCCUCGAAGACUGGGAUAGCCACUGGAAACGGUGAUUAAUACUAGAUAGUCCUGCUAAACAUAAGUUUAGUUGGUAAAUGUUUUUUCGCUUCGAGAUCAGACUAUAUCCCAUCAGCUUGUUGGUAGUGUAAGAGACUACCAAGGCAAUGACGGGUAGCGGGUCUGAGAGGAUGAUCCGCCACACUGGUACUGAGACACGGACCAG
This 230-nucleotide ribosomal RNA is filed under the name uncultured bacterium. Its description in RNAcentral is "partial 16S ribosomal RNA". It matches the Rfam family "Bacterial small subunit ribosomal RNA", at positions 103 to 334 of the family's 1533-position model. The record is from RNAcentral.